GAUAAUAGAACUAGGUGGUGGGUGGGGGCAAGGUAAGGCAAGAGAGACCAGGACAUAUUCUGGGGAGUGUGGCUUGGGCUGGAGUGAGUCUGGAUGGAAGAAGAGGCUGCAUCCUGAGAGCAGGAGGCCUGGAGUUGGGAUUGGAUCACACAUGCUGAGGGAGCCAUGGACUACAUUUAACCAGGGGAAGGAUACAAGCAGGCUGAGGACCUCACACACAUUUGCAGGCUGGGACCCAGCAGGGGCUGUUGCACUUCCCCAAAGUCACACAGCUUUGGUGUUCAUGAAAGUUUGGUCCCAAAGUAGAAAAUAUAGACACUGGCAUUGCUGGGUCCAUCCCAGCCUGUGUUCUGGAAGUCAAGGCUCACACACAUCCCUUCCCCUCCCAGGGCUCAUCUCAGAGGAGACUCCAGAAAGCAGCUUCCUGGUAGAAGGGGACAUCAUUCGGCCAAGCCCCUUCCGAUUGUUGUCAGUGACCAAUAAUAAAUGGCCCAAGGGUGUUGAUGGCAUUGUGGAGAUCCCCUUCCUGCUCUCCAGCAAGUACGGUGAGUGAGAGCUGAGGCGGGCCUUCCCACCUUCCUUCCCUAUGCAUCAGGACUCCUGCACCAUCUAUACAUCACGCGUCUCCUUCUGCGGAAUCACAGCCCCUCUCUUAUACCAACAGUGCUGUGCAGAGCUCCUACACCGGGGCAUCCUGAGCUAUGGUGGGGAGGGGUACUAAAACCCCGGGGAUGCUGAUGGAGUUCU
Molecule: long non-coding RNA, 747 nt
Filed under: Rattus norvegicus (Norway rat)
Lineage: Eukaryota; Metazoa; Chordata; Mammalia; Rodentia; Muridae
Description: long non-coding RNA NONRATT018573
Source: RNAcentral